Molecule: long non-coding RNA, 846 nt
Organism: Cotesia glomerata
Lineage: Eukaryota; Metazoa; Arthropoda; Insecta; Hymenoptera; Braconidae
Exons: 2
Source: RefSeq, a predicted model, not a curated record
CAUUAAGUGCUGUUGAUUCAAAAGGAAGUGCUAAAACUCCAGUAUCUCUUGUUAAACAAUAAAUAAGUAUACUUACUAAUAAUAAUAAAAAUUAAAAAUAAUAAUCAUCAUAUUAUACAUUAAAAGUAGGAAAAAAAAUUAAAACUAAUUUUUAGAUCGUGAUUUCUUCUAGAGUGCAAUACUACCUAUUUAAUUAAAAAUUUUAUUAUUUUGAUAAUAUCAAAUAUUUAUACAUAUGAUAUUUUGAAUAUAAAAAUAUAUUUUUAUUAAUAAUAAGUAUUUACUCUUGUAGAUUCACAAUUUAUUAGAGAGAUAAUGAUCAUAAAGAUACCUAGGAUUGUCGGAUUUAAUUUUCUUCUUUUUAAAUCAAGCGAAGAAAUGACGCGCUUUUGCGACUAGAAAAUUAUAUUAUAAGUUAUUAAUACUGUAAUUAUUAAUCCGACAAUCUUAAUAAUUGACACUGAGUUAAUAAAACUAGAAAAUUUUUAUUUUUAUUAAAAUUAAUCGGCAUAAUAAUUGCGUAUUAAUUGAUACUGCCAAAAAUAAUUAUUCAAUUUAUUUAAUAUUUUAUUUAAAUUGUUAUAGACAAUACAAAUGAUUUAAACACUUUAAAUUUUUUCUUAUAAAUUAUAUAAUAGACUAGUCGUUAUUUUAAAUGUAGAAAAAUAGAAAAAUAAUAUGGUAUUAAUUUAAUAAGUGAUACGAGGAUAAGAAUGAUUUAAAAUGUGAUCUCGGUAAAGAACUGAAUAUGAAAGGAAAGAUUGUUUUUAUUUUUUUAUUUUUUUAACAAUAAAAGUUGUUAACUAUAAAUGCAUUUCUUCUCAAUAUCAAUAUUGAUAAAUUUAU